GCCGAUGUAGCUCAGUGGUAGAGCAACUGUUUUGUAAACAGUAGGUCGUCGGUUCAAAUCCGACCAUCGGCU
RNAcentral lists this transfer RNA (72 nucleotides) under bacterium. Its description in RNAcentral is "tRNA-Thr". It matches the Rfam family "tRNA". From Rfam's summary of the family: Transfer RNA (tRNA) molecules are approximately 80 nucleotides in length. Their secondary structure includes four short double-helical elements and three loops (D, anti-codon, and T loops). RNAcentral also lists the same sequence under 1 other name. The record is from RNAcentral.